AAUUAAAAAGGUACGCGAGCUGGGUUCAGACCGUCGUGAGACAGGUUGGUCCUAAUCUGCUGCAGGCGUUGAUUCUUGAGAAGAUUUGUGCGUAGUACGAGAGGACCCGCAUGAACUGACCUCUGGUCUGUCGGCUGUCACGCCAGUGGCACUGCCGAGUAGCUAUGUCGGGAAUGGAUAACCGCUGAAAGCAUCUAAGCGGGAAGCCAACUUCAAGAUAAGGAAUCAUUAUCAGACCCCUAGGAGAUGACUAGGUUGAUAGGCACCAGGUGGAAGUACAGUGAUGUAUUU
Molecule: ribosomal RNA, 291 nt
Filed under: Candidatus Taylorbacteria bacterium CG10_big_fil_rev_8_21_14_0_10_41_48
Lineage: Bacteria; Candidatus Tayloriibacteriota
Description: partial 23S ribosomal RNA
Rfam family: Bacterial large subunit ribosomal RNA
Source: RNAcentral